AAGAGCUCUUUCCCCGGUUCCAGCGCAGCACCUCCGCCCACCCCGCCACCAUCCUAAAGUCGGGCAGGCACUGCCGACGAUCUCCGUGCCGGAGAGCUCCCCCGUACGCUUCCGCCACCGCGAGUUCCUCGUGUCCGCCUUCUCGGCAAUCCUAACGGACGGUUCCCCCGAUCUCCUCCUCCGGUUUUCCCCAACCCCUACUACUGAGCCCCCCCCCCCCCCUCUGUCUAGGUCGCCGGCGACCCCAACUAAAGUUCUUCCUUGCCUCCACAUUCUUCUGCUUGCCUCUUCCCUCUCCCUUGCGGACCCCAAUUUCAAGCGUUAUACCAUCCCAACUUCUCCGACUCCGAUGCCAUAGGCAUCUUCUUCCUCCCCACCGUCCGGGUGGCCUCUCAACACAUCAAACGGUGCAAAAGGUGGAUUGGGGCGUCUGAUAGGGUGGCGACGCACGGCGUCGCCUUCGGUGACGGCAGCCUGGGCGGUGGAGAGGAAGGGUGGGGACUCCCUCAAACGAAGCGUCCAUUAGCUUCCUUCUGCCUGCAUCGUAAAAAGUUUCGUGGUCGUAGGAAGAGUUCGGAUCCUCUGUUCAAGCUUCAAGAAAACAGUUACGUAUAAGACAAACAAAUUUCCUUUAACUUUAAUAAUAAGCUCUAUGCUAGGUUUAAUUCUUAGCCAUGAAGUUUGAUUCUUGUGACUCGGGAAAAGACUGAAUUAAGGCUUAAAUUUGGAUCGAAUGAUGCUAUCAUAAUUUUAUGUUGGAUGGGCACUAUGUUUACUUCUUCUUAUUAUUAUCAAUAAUUUUUCAAAAAAUAGAGAUCUAGCUUCAUUCAGUUGACGACUUAUUUUCUUGCAACCUUCCGUAUCUCAUUGGUUGUGUCAAGAAACAUCAUGCUAUUGCAAAAAGAUGGAUUAUUACUAUCCAAAAGCUGAAUUAUUUCGGGAGAAUUCUCUUGAUUUUACUCUGUGAAUCCAUUAAUAUUUGGAGGAAGACGGUCCUUGAUGGCUUAAUGAAACACUUCUGCUUUCCUUUAGCAGUUAGGAAGAUUUUCAGUUAUCUUGCCCAUUGAAGAUGUUUAGCUUACUUAAUUUGAGUAAUGUAGUUUUAGUUUAGUUGCAUCAUUCAUCGGAAAGUUGGGACUCUUUAGCCUAACACUCUAUGUGAUUCUUAAAAACAAGAUCAUUUAUCCCAAAACUUGCAUUAGGGAUAAAUUUCUAGUAUCUGGAUCAAACAAAAAGGGCAUAAACCAUUCUUUGUAGCUUCAAUAUGCAGCAUGGUCAGCCUACAGUAACAAGAUUUGAAUUGUUUCUUUUGUUUUGGUUUAACAUUUUCUGCUUUAUUUGGUCAGCGGGGAGAAGGUGGUGGCAGCGCAGGAGAAGAGGAAGGUGGACUUGAGGAAGCCAUGGGAUUGGAGGAGGGAGUGGAGGACAUGAGGGCUGACAAGGGUGGCAUCAUGGAAGACAGUGCCAACUAUGGUUGCGGAAGACUGCUUUCUUUGUUUGCUGUUGCUUUUACUCUUUUAUGCAUUUGUUUGCUAGAUACCGACAAGAAACUUAUCAAUUUAUGAUCUACUAUUUUUUUCUACUAUUUAAUUAACUUCUGCAGCUAGUUGCUAAUAUAUCAUGGAGGUAGAGCUUCUUGCAGCGUUUCGCGUACUAAUUUAUUUAUUUCGCUAUUUCUUUUUUUAUGGCUUAGAUUUUUUUUCUUUUCUUUUAAACAGAAAGCAGUUUAAUGCGUCAUCUAGUUGCAGCUUUGACUGACGUUUGCCUAUUUAUCC
RNAcentral lists this long non-coding RNA (1775 nucleotides) under Elaeis guineensis (African oil palm). RNAcentral's name for it is "long non-coding RNA (EGUI_LNC007045)". Lineage: Eukaryota; Viridiplantae; Streptophyta; Magnoliopsida; Arecales; Arecaceae. The record is from RNAcentral.